GAAACAGCACCAACAGGACUAAACAGCCACAGCGGGCGGCAUGGGGGGGGCAGAGGCGCUGGAGCCCCGGGCACCGGUGGACCCUCCCCGCCCAGCACGACACCUAAUGGCGUCCCGGCCGUCCUGGGCAAACAGCCCCCCAAAGAGCCAGAUCCUCCGCGCCCCUGUCACCCCCCUGGGGAACUGAGAUGGCCUCGCUUCCCGCUUGUUACCUGUCCUGCCAAGUCCGUAGCGCAGCGUCGGCCCUGCCCGGGGUGCCCCACGGCUUCGACAAACGCACUAGUUAAAGGUCACUCACGUUGUCUGGGCCAACUCGGGUUUUCACUUGCUCCAAGUGGUAGCAGCGCCCAGGACUGGGACCGAGACAAAGUCACAGUCUGUUUACAGAACUUCUGACAAGCAAGCCAGGGGGUCUCGAGGACAGAGCGUCCCUGGAGCCUCUGCUGACCGAGCACUUGUCUGGAGUAAAGUCAACAUCACCUGAACCUUCAUGUUGCAAUUCUCUCAACAGCAUCCACAGAGCUGCUCUUCGCAACGGCCCAGGGCCUUCUGCAGCCUCACGCAGGAAGCCGAUUCGGGCGCAGGCCAGUCUGAACUAAAGAGGCAAACAAACCCGUUUUGUUGGAGGGUAAAAUGAAAAGGUUUUCGGCUUCA
Hyaena hyaena (striped hyena) is the source of this 654-nucleotide long non-coding RNA. RefSeq lists it as uncharacterized. The record is from RefSeq and is a predicted model, not a curated record. Lineage: Eukaryota; Metazoa; Chordata; Mammalia; Carnivora; Hyaenidae. The transcript has 3 exons.